UCUGGUAUCAGCUCAUCCCAACAGCGAUACUCACUCCCAUCGGCCAUAUAUUCUGCCUGGAAGAAAAAGGAGCUAUUUUUCCCUCUUAGAAGCUUUCUUUGUUUCUUUGGGAUUUGGAUUCAGAAACCGAGUCACCGGUUUAUCCGCCACAAACGUAGGGGAAAAAGNAAAGAAGAAACAGAGACAGAGAAGGAGGUGAGGGCGAGAGGUAAAAAGAGAGAGAGAGAGCUACAAAAUUAGUAGUGCCCCAUCUACCCACUCAACUAAACUGCAUCAAUGCGAAACAGAACAAGAACCCAAGGGUAAAAACAAAGAGGAGUGAAAAAGCGAAAGUUGACG
This 339-nucleotide unclassified non-coding RNA is filed under the name Hevea brasiliensis (rubber tree). Lineage: Eukaryota; Viridiplantae; Streptophyta; Magnoliopsida; Malpighiales; Euphorbiaceae. The record is from RNAcentral.